Molecule: ribosomal RNA, 287 nt
Filed under: uncultured bacterium
Lineage: Bacteria
Description: partial 16S ribosomal RNA
Rfam family: Bacterial small subunit ribosomal RNA
Source: RNAcentral
GGAUUAGAUACCCUGGUAGUCCACGCCGUAAACGAUGGUCACUAGCUGUUCGGCAUUUAUGUUGAGUGGCUAAGCGAAAGUGAUAAGUGACCCACCUGGGGAGUACGUUCGCAAGAAUGAAACUCAAAGGAAUUGACGGGGGCCCGCACAAGCGGUGGAGCAUGUGGUUUAAUUCGAUGAUACGCGAGGAACCUUACCAGGGCUUAAAUGUAGUCUGACAGCUGUAGAGAUACGGUUUUCUUCGGACAGAUUACAAGGUGCUGCAUGGUUGUCGUCAGCUCGUGCCG